This 618-nucleotide ribosomal RNA is filed under the name uncultured Lachnospiraceae bacterium. RNAcentral's name for it is "bacterial SSU rRNA". It matches the Rfam family "Bacterial small subunit ribosomal RNA", at positions 88 to 722 of the family's 1533-position model. Lineage: Bacteria; Bacillati; Bacillota; Clostridia; Lachnospirales; Lachnospiraceae. The record is from RNAcentral.
UAACUUAGUGGCGAACGGGUGAGUAACGCGUGAGUAACCUGCCCUGGAGUGGGGGACAACAGUUGGAAACGACUGCUAAUACCGCAUAAGCCCACGGCCCGGCAUCGGGCUGCGGGAAAAGGAUUUAUUCGCUUCAGGAUGGACUCGCGUCCAAUUAGCUGGUUGGUGAGGUAACGGCCCACCAAGGCGACGAUUGGUAGCCGGACUGAGAGGUUGAACGGCCACAUUGGGACUGAGACACGGCCCAGACUCCUACGGGAGGCAGCAGUGGGGGAUAUUGCACAAUGGGGGAAACCCUGAUGCAGCGACGCCGCGUGGAGGAAGAAGGUUUUCGGAUUGUAAACUCCUGUCGUUAGGGACGAUAAUGACGGUACCUAACAAGAAAGCACCGGCUAACUACGUGCCAGCAGCCGCGGUAAAACGUAGGGUGCAAGCGUUGUCCGGAAUUACUGGGUGUAAAGGGAGCGCAGGCGGACCGGCAAGUUGGAAGUGAAAACUAUGGGCUCAACCCAUAAAUUGCUUUCAAAACUGCUGGCCUUGAGUAGUGCAGAGGUAGGUGGAAUUCCCGGUGUAGCGGUGGAAUGCGUAGAUAUCGGGAGGAACACCAGUGGCGAAGGC